RNAcentral lists this long non-coding RNA (1082 nucleotides) under Papio anubis (olive baboon). RNAcentral's name for it is "lncRNA (ENSPANG00000038423.1)". The record is from RNAcentral. Lineage: Eukaryota; Metazoa; Chordata; Mammalia; Primates; Cercopithecidae.
GUAGCCAGGAGAUUUGGAGUUUAGUUUCAGCUCCAGGCUGGACCAGAUGCUGUGGGACCUUGGGAAGCUUGCUUGACUUCUCUGAGAUUUUGUUUCUUCUUCCGCCAAAUAGAGAUUCCUCUCAAAUCUAUACAAUGGGGAUUUUCUUUCAUCUGCAAAAUGGGGAAUUAUAAUGCCUGCUGGGCCUCUGCACAGAGUUGUCCUCAAGUCCAUGUAUUCAGACAAGUCCUCUGAAGUACAUCAAGUGCAAGAGGAGACGAGGUGAUGAUUACCAUGGCCAGCAGUGCUGGCAUCGACUAGACCUCCAGCCUCUCCAGGCUUCCCCAAAUCUGGGCUGAGGACUUGGCACCAGGAAGCUAAAAGAUGAAUGAAGCCGAAUCUCUUCCAGGACAAAGCAGGUGACAUGUUCUAAUGGAUUCUGAAGAGGGUUUGUGUUCCUGCCCUUAACCAUUGUAGCGCCAUUUGUACAGGCAGCCGGAAUCCUGCCCAACAGCAAGAAGAAAAUUGGCAGCCCAGGGAAGUGAGCAGCUCUCGGGUUGGACUUGAUUAGGGACCAAUUUGGGCCUGUUAGCCAAGCCUCCAGUAUCAUCUCAGCCAAUUACUGGCCCAGCCUGGCCUGCAGCUGGCUGCUUCCUUCCAAGCUAGACACUUUUAUUUCCAGCAGAGCUCUCCCCUGUGCCUGAGGCAAGAGACCAGGGUGACUGUGGCCCAUUAAAAAGAUGGAGAGAGAAAUAACUCACUCAGUAAGGUACCCAGUCAAUAGCACAAUAAAUGGAUGGAGCCCGAUGACAUUUACAGUCACUAUCCUGUGUACAGGGAAAGCAGGACUGGUUGGAAACUUGCCUUCAACAUCUAAAAAAAAUAAAAAUAAAAAUAAAGGUAGAGAGUGAUCAGGGCUUAGGGUUUUGUGGAUGUGGGCCGGCCUCCCUCAGGCAGGCUGGGUUGGGUAAGAUCCUCUCCAUUGCCCCAUGGCUGUUGGAUCCAUGCCUACCUUGGAUAUAAAACCAAAGUUCCAUCAAUUGGGCCUUCACGUUUUUUCCCGCUGAUCGUACCGCCAUUUUCACCUUCAGGUUCUGUCUCAC